UGUGUGGCAGCGUUGGGUGGAGAGUGGAGAGCAAUGAGUUCCUUGCCCUCUUGGCGGCCUUCCUCAGUUCUCUGGAAUGUGGUGUGUAGGAAGUGCUACCAGCCAGGGAGUCACCGCUGUCGCAGCUCCAGGUUUGUGGCCGGGAGAUGGAGAACUGAAAGGUCCUGCCUGCCCAGGGAAGCUGCAUCUCAAGUUUCUGGGCAUGGCCUCUAAUGGGGGGAAAUGUGAUAAACCCUUAGGUUCUCUAAAACCAUGGUUUGCAAAGUGUGGACCCUAGACCCACUGCAUUAGCCCCACCUGGGACCUUGUCAGAAAUGCAGAUUCCCAGGCUCUGCCCCCAGUAUACUGAAUCUGAACUCUGGAGGUGGGGCCCGGCCAUAUGCCCCGCGAGUGAUUCUGACCCACAGUUGAGAAACACUGCUCUAAAGAAUGACCAGUGCACUUGCAGAUCUUGGAAUCAAUGAUAUUAGUGCUUCGGAUGCUUAUUUCAAUGAGGAAAAAUAUCUUACUGGAAAUUUACAGUAUAAAUAGAAGUUUAUUUAAGGUGGUAAACAAAUGCAUCAUAGGAAUUCAUUAUAGGAUGUUUAACAGUAACUCUAGCCUCUGCCCACAACAUGCCAGUAGUGACAAUUAAAAAUGUCCUUGGGGGGUUGGGGGGGGGGAUGACCACAACUGAGAACCACUGAAUUAAAACAAAGCUAUAUAGUAGUUUAUUUAGCAGAUCUUCUCUGUGCUAGGUUUUCAGAAACAACAAAUAAGGAUCUCAGCCCAAAGAACCUUACAGUUUUAGGCAAACCCAAAUAUGUUACAGUAUUGUACGUGUUGUUAAAAAAUAUAAUGAAAUUCUAUGGAGGUGAUUAUUCCUAGGGUAGCUGAUGAAGACUUCACACGAGCAGUGACAUCGGACUCUCCAAAAUGAGAAGACAGAGAAGGACCUUUGAAAUUCAUGUGUAAAGUCUGGAGAUAAGUGCAUCUCAGGUCCAGGGAGAGAGAGUCUGACGGAGUACCCUCUGCCUGGAAGUCCAAGCAAGGCUACAAUGCAGGGGAUGGAUAGUUUUCCACAGGAAAAGCUUAUGGCACUUCAGCCACCUCGCUGGAGGAGCGGGCCUUUGCAGCAGAGAGAACAUCCUGGCAGCAGCUAUAACAUCUGCCCGAAGAAGCUGACCCAUCCCAAUCCUUCCC
Long non-coding RNA from Herpailurus yagouaroundi (jaguarundi), 1182 nucleotides. RefSeq lists it as uncharacterized. The transcript is spliced from 3 exons. Lineage: Eukaryota; Metazoa; Chordata; Mammalia; Carnivora; Felidae. The record is from RefSeq and is a predicted model, not a curated record.